RNAcentral lists this ribosomal RNA (58 nucleotides) under Cladosporium sp. MX6. RNAcentral's name for it is "partial 28S large subunit ribosomal RNA". It matches the Rfam family "Eukaryotic large subunit ribosomal RNA", at positions 1 to 57 of the family's 3401-position model. The record is from RNAcentral. RNAcentral also lists the same sequence under 4 other names. Lineage: Eukaryota; Fungi; Ascomycota; Dothideomycetes; Cladosporiales; Cladosporiaceae.
GUGACCUCGGAUCAGGUAGGAAUACCCGCUGAACUUAAGCAUAUCAAUAAGCGGAGGA